CCUGGAAGGAGCUCCAGCUCAGCCCAGAAGGUUUUCUCCAGCAGCCGAGAGAAGCUCACAGCCAGCCAUCAUGGUGCACUGGACCGCCGAAGAGAAGCAGCUCAUCAACACUUUGUGGAGCAAAGUAGACGUGGCUGCCUUGGGUGGGGACACCCUUUCCUGCAUGAUGAUCGUCUUCCCCUGGACCCAGAGAUUAUUCACUCA
This is a non-coding RNA of Podarcis muralis (Common wall lizard), 204 nucleotides long. The record is from RefSeq and is a predicted model, not a curated record. NCBI's taxonomy places the organism in Eukaryota, Metazoa, Chordata, Lepidosauria, Squamata, Lacertidae.